CACCGCCCCACAUCUUCUCCAUCUCAGACAACGCCUAUCAGUACAUGCUGACAGAUCGGGAGAACCAGUCCGUUCUCAUCACCGGAGAAUCCGGGGCAGGGAAGACUGUGAACACGAAACGUGUCAUCCAGUAUUUUGCCAGCAUUGCAGCCAUAAGUGACCGUGGCAAGAAGG
Myotis brandtii (Brandt's bat) is the source of this 174-nucleotide long non-coding RNA. RefSeq lists it as uncharacterized. The record is from RefSeq and is a predicted model, not a curated record. The transcript has 3 exons. Lineage: Eukaryota; Metazoa; Chordata; Mammalia; Chiroptera; Vespertilionidae.